GAUGAAGAACGUAGCGAAAUGCGAUAAGUAAUGUGAAUUGCAGAAUUCAGUGAAUCAUCGAAUCUUUGAACGCACAUUGCGCCCCUUGGUAUUCCGGGGGGCAUGCCCGUUCGAGCGUCAUUAUAACCCCUCAAGCUCAGCUUGGUGUUGGGGCCUGCUGCACUGGCAGCCCUUAAAAUCAGUGGCGGCGCCAUCUGGCUCUAAGCGUAGUAAUUCUUCUCGCUAUGGAGUCCUGGUGGAUGCUUGCCAUCAACCCCCAAUUUUUCUAUGGUUGACCUCGGAUCAGGUAGGGAUACCCGCUGAACUUAAGCAUAUCAAUAAGCGGAGGA
RNAcentral lists this unclassified non-coding RNA (329 nucleotides) under soil metagenome. Its description in RNAcentral is "partial contains 5.8S ribosomal RNA, internal transcribed spacer 2, and large subunit ribosomal RNA". The stretch from base 1 to 120 matches the Rfam family "5.8S ribosomal RNA", at positions 35 to 154 of the family's 154-position model. The record is from RNAcentral.